Herpailurus yagouaroundi (jaguarundi) is the source of this 540-nucleotide long non-coding RNA. RefSeq lists it as uncharacterized. The transcript has 3 exons. The record is from RefSeq and is a predicted model, not a curated record. Lineage: Eukaryota; Metazoa; Chordata; Mammalia; Carnivora; Felidae.
AGCCCCUAAAACAAUUUUCAAUAAAUUAUUUAUUGUCCAAGUUUUAGACUGUGUUACUUUUCCCUUUUUAUCUUUUUCAUCUUUAAACAUCCUUAGUCACUUAUGGAUGUGAUUUUUGACCCAAACUGUAUUUCUUUUUAUAAUAGCAUUUCAUCACAUUUACAAUUGUCAGAAAACAUACAUUCAGUCUUCUGCCAUCUUAAUAAUUUAUAUAUAUAUGUGUGUAUGUGUGUGUGUGUGUGUGUGUAUGUGUGUAUGGCUAGGGGGAGAGAGAGAGAGUGAAUAAGAAAGAUACAUGUAGCAAAAUGUUAAAAAGGAGUCAAUCUGGAUAAAAGAUAUGCAGUUGACCAUUGAACAAUGCAGGGGUCAGGGGAACCCACUGCCUGUGCAGUUGAAAAUUUGCAUAUAACUUUUGACUCCCCAGAAACUUAAGUACUAAUAGCCUACCACUGACUGGAAGCCUUACCAAUAACAGUUGACUAACACAUAUUCUGCAUUUUAUAUGUAUUACAUAUACUGUAUUCUUACAAUAGAGCUAGA